Molecule: ribosomal RNA, 468 nt
Filed under: uncultured bacterium
Lineage: Bacteria
Description: partial 16S ribosomal RNA
Rfam family: Bacterial small subunit ribosomal RNA
Source: RNAcentral
GACGAACGCUGGCGGCGUGCUUAACACAUGCAAGUCGAACGGAAGGGCCCUGCUUUUGUGGGGUGCUCGAGUGGCGAACGGGUGAGUAACACGUGAGUAACCUGCCCUUGACUUUGGGAUAACUUCAGGAAACUGGGGCUAAUACCGGAUAGGAGCUCCUGCUGCAUGGUGGGGGUUGGAAAGUUUCGGCGGUGGGGGAUGGACUCGCGGCUUAUCAGCUUGUUGGUGGGGUAGUGGCUUACCAAGGCUUUGACGGGUAGCCGGCCUGAGAGGGUGACCGGCCACAUUGGGACUGAGAUACGGCCCAGACUCCUACGGGAGGCAGCAGUGGGGAAUAUUGCACAAUGGGCGGAAGCCUGAUGCAGCAACGCCGCGUGCGGGAUUAUGGCCUUCGGGUUGUAAACCGCUUUCGCCUGUGACGAAGCGUGAGUGACGGUAAUGGGUAAAGAAGCACCGGCUAACUACGUG